Belonocnema kinseyi is the source of this 1212-nucleotide RNA transcript. RefSeq lists it as uncharacterized. The record is from RefSeq and is a predicted model, not a curated record. The transcript has 2 exons. NCBI's taxonomy places the organism in Eukaryota, Metazoa, Arthropoda, Insecta, Hymenoptera, Cynipidae.
CAACAUGUAGUAGUUUGAGCCUUAAAAGAGGGUCUAAUUUCUCUUGAAGACACACCCUACUUUGACGCUAGACGUGAAAAAACGGCCUAUUUCUAACAACUUUAGCGUUAAAGUAGAAUCUAAAUGACUAAGUGUCAGAUGCAGUGUUCAAGGAAUGGUUCAACGAAUGGUUCAAUAUACCUCCAAAUGAUAAUAAUAAUAAUAACAAUAGCAUUAAUAAUGAUUUUGAUGUUCGGAUUGGUGACUUCGUUUCAGUAUAUAUUUUUGAUCCCCAAGACGAAAUUCACGGUACCGGUGUUUUUAUUGGAAAUAUCGACGGAAGAAUCGAAAGUGCUGACUUACCUGCGAGAGGUGCUAUAAAUCAUUGUCUUUUUGUACGAUUGCCAAGUGGCGUCGUUUUUUAUGCGAACCUAAUUAAACGUCUUGAUAAUCCCUAUGCCAAUGGGUGGCCUUGUCGCUAUUUUAUAGAAGGACGAGAGGACACUUUUUUCUCAAAUCUUCUUACGCCAAAUAAGCCUUCUGAUUCCCGAGUCAGGAGCAUUUUGUUGCAAAAGUAUAAACAUGGUCAUACAAACGUUUUUUAUAUGUGGGCAGAAAUAGGUCACUAUACAAGAAAUUUAGUUCCUAAAUGGGCAAAUCGUGCAUAUUGGUUUGCGCCGCACACUGCAUAAACCAAUAUUGUUGGUUCGUUUUUAUUUCACUUCUGUACUUGUUUUCCAUUUUUUCUUGUUUUGUGUGUGAAUUAUCGCAAUAUUAGUGACACGGAAUAAUUGUAUUUCAUAAUUCAGGGUUGCUACCAAAUCUCAUUUUUAAAAUCUUUUUACAUUUCCCUGGUCAAUUUUUUAUUUUACCUGACGAUGGAAAUUUUUCUUCUGGUAUAAAGUAACCCCAUAAACUACAAUUUUCAUGCAAAAAAAUAUUUCUAAAUUUUUCCUUAAAACUUUUAGUGCCAAGAUGAAUACUUAUUUUUAUAAACUAUAAUAUAAGUUUAACGAAAAUUUCCUGAUACUUUGAGGGGUUUAGUAGCUCACCCUGACUUUGACGAACCAUUUUAAAAUUCCGUAGCUUGUGGCUACCCCGAUAAUUACUUUCCGCUAUUUUCUAAUUCUGUAUAACGAUAUCCUAAAUAAACUAUCUGUCGUUGUAGAUUAUAAUCCAUAAAUUUGUGUAGCCUUAAUUUUUCUGUUAUUAAAAUUGUAUAUUUUUACUUGU